This 792-nucleotide ribosomal RNA is filed under the name uncultured Segetibacter sp. RNAcentral's name for it is "bacterial SSU rRNA". It matches the Rfam family "Bacterial small subunit ribosomal RNA", at positions 8 to 796 of the family's 1533-position model. Lineage: Bacteria; Pseudomonadati; Bacteroidota; Chitinophagia; Chitinophagales; Chitinophagaceae. The record is from RNAcentral.
AGAGUUUGAUCAUGGCUCAGGAUGAACGCUAGCGGCAGGCUUAAUACAUGCAGGUCGAGGGGUAACAUGGUAGCAAUACUGAUGACGACCGGCAAACGGGUGCGGAACACGUACAGAACCUUCCUUUAAGCGGGGGAUAGCCCAUAGAAAUGUGGAUUAAUACCCCAUAGUAUUGUUGGUUGGCAUCAAUUGACAAUUAAAGAUUUAUCACUUAAAGAUGGCUGUGCGGCUGAUUAGGUAGUUGGUUGGGGUAAUGGCCCACCAAGCCAGCGAUCAGUAACUGGUGUGAGAGCACGACCAGUCACACGGGCACUGAGACACGGGCCCGACUCCUACGGGAGGCAGCAGUAAGGAAUAUUGGUCAAUGGACGCAAGUCUGAACCAGCCAUGCCGCGUGAAGGAUGAAUGCCCUCUGGGUUGUAAACUUCUUUUAUCUGGGACGAAACAUUCUGAUUCUUCAGAACUUGACGGUACCAGAGGAAUAAGCACCGGCUAACUCCGUGCCAGCAGCCGCGGUAAUACGGAGGGUGCAAGCGUUAUCCGGAUUCACUGGGUUUAAAGGGUGCGUAGGUGGGUUGGUAAGUCAGUGGUGAAGUCUCCGUGCUUAACAUGGAAACUGCCAUUGAUACUACUGAUCUUGAAUUUUCUGGAGGUAAGCGGAAUAUGUCAUGUAGCGGUGAAAUGCUUAGAUAUGACAUAGAACACCAAUUGCGAAGGCAGCUUGCUACAGGGAUAUUGACACUGAGGCACGAAAGCGUGGGGAUCAAACAGGAUUAGAUACCCUAGUAGUCC